This 460-nucleotide ribosomal RNA is filed under the name uncultured bacterium. RNAcentral's name for it is "partial 16S ribosomal RNA". It matches the Rfam family "Bacterial small subunit ribosomal RNA", at positions 338 to 795 of the family's 1533-position model. The record is from RNAcentral.
CCUACGGGGGGCUGCAGUGAGGAAUAUUGGUCAAUGGCCGGAAGGCUGAACCAGCCAUGCCGCGUGAGGGAAGACUGCCCUAUGGGUUGUAAACCUCUUUUGUCAGGGAGCAACGCCGGCUACGUGUAGCCGGACUGAGAGUACCUGAAGAAAAAGCAUCGGCUAACUCCGUGCCAGCAGCCGCGGUAAUACGGAGGAUGCGAGCGUUAUCCGGAUUUAUUGGGUUUAAAGGGUGCGUAGGCGGAAUGCCAAGUCAGCGGUAAAAUCGCGGGGCUCAACCUCGCUCCGCCGUUGAAACUGGCGUGCUUGAGUGGGCGAGAAGUAUGCGGAAUGCGUGGUGUAGCGGUGAAAUGCAUAGAUAUCACGAAGAACUCCGAUAGCGAAGGCAGCAUACCGGCGCCCAACUGACGCUGAAGCACGAAAGCGUGGGUAUCGAACAGGAUUGGAUACCCUGGUAGUC